GAUGAACGCUGGCGGCGUGCCUAAUACAUGCAAGUCGAGCGAACGGACGAGAAGCUUGCUUCUCUGAUGUUAGCGGCGGACGGGUGAGUAACACGUGGAUAACCUACCUAUAAGACUGGGAUAACUUCGGGAAACCGGAGCUAAUACCGGAUGAUAUUUUGAACCGCAUGGUUCAAAAGUGAAAGACGGUCUUGCUGUCACUUAUAGAUGGAUCCGCGCUGCAUUAGCUAGUUGGUAAGGUAACGGCUUACCAAGGCAACGAUGCAUAGCCGACCUGAGAGGGUGAUCGGCCACACUGGAACUGAGACACGGUCCAGACUCCUACGGGAGGCAGCAGUAGGGAAUCUUCCGCAAUGGGCGAAAGCCUGACGGAGCAACGCCGCGUGAGUGAUGAAGGUCUUCGGAUCGUAAAACUCUGUUAUUAGGGGAGAACAUAUGUGUAAGUAACUGUGCACAUCUUGACGGUACCUAGUCAGAAAGCCACGGCUAACUACGUG
Molecule: ribosomal RNA, 497 nt
Filed under: uncultured bacterium
Lineage: Bacteria
Description: partial 16S ribosomal RNA
Rfam family: Bacterial small subunit ribosomal RNA
Source: RNAcentral